CACCGGGAACUGAAGCAGAGGCGUCUGGUCUCGCCGCCCAGAGCCCGACCCUGCGCAUGGAGCAUGCGCACACGCCCCAACACCAAGGGCCAGAAAGGGCAGUGACACCUGCGAUCAACAGGUCCCGGGAGACCCGCCCCACUCUCCGCCUCGUGCCGGUCCCGCCUCCUCGGGAAAGGCCCCGCCUUCACGCUCCUCGAGCUAACCCCGCCCCGCACUCGAUUUCCCGGCUUUCCGGACCUGGCGAACUGUAUUCCCGCGGGGGUUCGACUGGGCGCGCGAUCCAGUUGACUUACUCCAAGGCGCGAGAUCCCGCGAGAGCAGGAACUUGAACAUUUCCCCUAAAGCAAGAGUGGAGCGUUAUUAGGGCUUAGCUGUUGGAGAAGGUGCGUGCCGGUUGGCUGUGUGGUGUAGAAGGAAGAAGGGGUUAGUUCUUCUCAAGCGGAGGUGAUUAUUCCCGCGCUCUUGGUCAACGUUUUCGGUAUUUUCUAAGCUCAGGAACGCGAACCCACGAAGGACUGGGUUAAGUAUUGUUACCUGAGAGAAAACAAUCCGUACUGCCUGGCUUCAAAACCGCAUGUGGGUGCUGAGCCUGGAGUGUUGCAUGGCCCAGAACAGAGCCUUGUGCAGGAGGCCUGGGACCUAAGAGACUGGCACGGCCUAAUUUUGCCAUCGCCUUCUUCAUGGGGAGAAUGGCCCUGGAGAGGAUUUGGAACAAGCUUAGAUUGAAACAAAAGAAGACCAGAGCGCACCUGACCCACCCACCUGGUGUCUGAGUUUCUACGAAAAGUGGCUGGUUUGAGAGCUCAUUUUACGAGGGCUCUAAAAAGCUGUAAGUGGGGGCACCUGGGUGGCUCAGUUGGUUAAGCGUCUGCCUUCA
This is a long non-coding RNA of Leptonychotes weddellii (Weddell seal), 880 nucleotides long. RefSeq lists it as uncharacterized. The record is from RefSeq and is a predicted model, not a curated record. NCBI's taxonomy places the organism in Eukaryota, Metazoa, Chordata, Mammalia, Carnivora, Phocidae.